Molecule: small RNA, 5541 nt
Filed under: Pongo abelii (Sumatran orangutan)
Lineage: Eukaryota; Metazoa; Chordata; Mammalia; Primates; Hominidae
Description: retained intron
Source: RNAcentral
AGCGAUAUUUAGGGGAGGCUGAGGAGGCCUGGGGACAGUUUUGGGAGAGAAAGGGAAUGGUCGUUUUGGGUCUGGGGUAAAUGGGGAGAAGAAAGGGUAGGUCUGCGCUGAGCCGGAGUAGUUUGGAAAGGGUGAAUCAGGGAGAGGUUAGAGUGAUUGGAAGGCGAACGAGGGAGGGCGGUGGGGGGCAGGGUUGGGGUACUGGGGGGAGAAGCAGAGACCUUAGUGGCGGGAGCCCGCGCUCAGCGUCGCCCCUCGCGCCCCCAGCGGCUCCCGCCAUCACUCAGGCGCCCGAGGCGCUGUCGCGGACUCGGGCGAGCACAGCGCGCUUCGUGUGCCGCGCGUCGGGGGAGCCGCGGCCAGCUCUGCGCUGGCUGCACAACGGGGCGCCGCUGCGGCCCAACGGGCGCGUCAAGGUCCAGGGCGGCGGUGGCAGCCUGGUCAUCACACAGAUCGGCCUGCAGGACGCCGGCUACUACCAGUGCGUGGCUGAGAACAGCGCGGGAAUGGCGUGCGCUGCCGCGUCGCUGGCCGUGGUGGUGCGCGAGGGGCUGCCCAGCGCCCCCACGCGGGUCACUGCUACGCCACUGAGCAGCUCCGCUGUGUUGGUGGCCUGGGAGCGGCCCGAGCUGCACAGCGAGCAGAUCAUCGGCUUCUCUCUCCACUACCAGAAGGCACGAGGCAUGGACAAUGUAGAAUACCAGUUUGCAGUGAACAACGACACCACAGAACUACAGGUUCGGGACCUGGAACCCAACACAGAUUAUGAGUUCUACGUGGUGGCCUACUCCCAGCUGGGAGCCAGCCGCACCUCCACCCCAGCACUGGUGCACACACUGGAUGAUGUCCCCAGUGCAGCACCCCAGCUCUCCCUGUCCAGCCCCAACCCUUCGGACAUCAGGGUGGCGUGGCUGCCCCUGCCCCCCAGCCUCAGCAAUGGGCAGGUGGUGAAGUACAAGAUAGAAUACGGUUUGGGAAAGGAAGAUCAGAUUUUCUCCACUGAGGUGCGAGGAAAUGAGACACAGCUGAUGCUGAACUCACUUCAGCCAAACAAGGUGUAUCGAGUACGGAUUUCGGCUGGUACAGCAGCCGGCUUCGGGGCCCCCUCCCAGUGGAUGCAGCACAGGACGCCCAGUAUGCACAACCAGAGCCACGUCCCUUUUGCCCCUGCAGAGUUGAAGGUGCAGGCAAAGACGGAGUCCCUGGUCGUGUCAUGGCAGCCACCCCCUCACCCCACUCAGAUCUCUGGCUACAAACUAUAUUGGCGGGAGGUGGGGGCUGAGGAGGAAGCCAAUGGUGAUCGCCCACCAGGGGGCCGUGGAGACCAGGCUUGGGAUGUGGGGCCUGUCCGGCUCAAGAGGAAAGUGAAGCAGUAUGAGCUGACCCAGCUAGUCCCUGGCCAGCUGUACGAGGUGAAGCUCGUGGCAUUCAACAAACAUGAGGACGGCUAUGCAGCAGUGUGGAAGGGCAAGACAGAGAAGGCGCCCGCACCAGACAUGCCUAUCCAGAGGGGCCCACCCCUGCCUCCAGCCCACGUCCAUGCAGAAUCAAACAGCUCCACAUCCAUCUGGCUUCGGUGGAAAAAGCCAGACUUCACCACAGUCAAGAUUGUCAACUACACUGUGCGCUUCAGCCCCUGGGGGCUCAGGAAUGCCUCCCUGGUCACCUAUUACACCAGUUCUGGAGAAGACAUCCUCAUUGGCGGCUUGAAGCCAUUCACCAAAUACGAGUUUGCAGUGCAGUCUCACGGCGUGGACAUGGAUGGGCCUUUCGGCUCUGUGGUGGAGCGCUCCACCCUGCCUGACCGGCCCUCCACACCCCCAUCCGACCUGCGACUGAGCCCCCUGACACCGUCCACGGUUCGGCUGCACUGGUGCCCCCCCACAGAGCCCAACGGGGAGAUCGUGGAGUAUCUGAUCCUGUACAGCAACAACCACACGCAGCCUGAGCACCAGUGGACCUUGCUCACCACGGAGGGAAACAUCUUCAGUGCUGAGGUCCAUGGCCUGGAGAGCGACACUCGGUACUUCUUCAAGAUGGGGGCGCGCACAGAGGUGGGGCCUGGGCCUUUCUCCCGCCUGCAGGAUGUGAUCACGCUCCAGGAGAAGCUGUCAGACUCGCUGGACAUGCACUCAGUCACGGGCAUCAUCGUGGGUGUCUGCCUGGGCCUCCUCUCCCUCCUGGCCUGCAUGUGUGCUGGCCUGCGCCGCAGCCCCCACAGGGAAUCCCUCCCAGGCCUGUCCUCCACCGCCACCCCUGGGAAUCCCGCGCUGUACUCCAGAGCUCGGCUUGGUCCCCCCAGCCCCCCAGCUGCCCAUGAACUGGAGUCCCUUGUGCAUCCCCAUCCCCAGGACUGGUCCCCGCCACCCUCAGACGUGGAGGACAGGGCUGAAGUGCACAGCCUUAUGGGUGGCGGUAUUUCUGAAGGCCGGAGUCACUCCAAAAGAAAGAUCUCCUGGGCUCAACCAAGCGGGCUGAGCUGGGCUGGUUCCUGGGCAGGCUGUGAGCUGCCCCAGGCAGGCCCCCGGCCGGCUCUGACCCGUGCCCUGCUGCCCCCUGCUGGAACUGGGCAGACGCUGUUGCUGCAGGCUCUGGUGUACGACGCCAUAAAGGGCAAUGGGAGGAAGAAGUCACCCCCAGCCUGCAGGAACCAGGUGGAGGCCGAAGUCAUUGUCCACUCUGACUUUAGUGCAUCUAAUGGGAACCCUGACCUCCAUCUCCAAGACCUGGAGCCUGAGGACCCCCUGCCUCCGGAGGCUCCUGAUCUCAUCUCGGGUGUCGGGGAUCCAGGGCAGGGGGCAGCUUGGCUGGACAGGGAGCUGGGAGGGUGUGAGCUGGCAACCCCCAGGCCAGACAGACUUACCUGCUUGCCAGAGGCAGCCAGUGCUUCCUGCUCCUACCCGGACCUCCAGCCAGGCGAGGUGCUAGAGGAGACCCCUGGAGAAGCUGCCAGCUCAAAGCCCCCUGCCUUCUAGGAGCCAGCCCAGGCCUGCCCAGAUCCCCGGUCUCCUCCUCUGCCUAGCUCUUCCCAGAGGGUGUGGUUUGGGGCAGGCAGGUAUGGAUCACAUAGGAUGCGACACCUGUGGCCGUGUAUGUCUACAUGUGUGCCUGUAGAUAACAUCAUCAAGCCCUUUGGAGUUUCCUAAGGUGCUUUGGCUGGGAGGAGAGGAAAACAUGGAUUAUUCACUCCCCCCAUACUCUUUGUAAUACGCAUGUGACAUGUGAAAGACAUACGAGACACAGCUACAUGUGAUGUGCACAUGUGUGAAGUGCACGUAUGUGUACUGGUUUGUGAGCUGGGAAACCAUGGCCCAGGUAGUGGUCACUUCAGCCCGAUUGGUCCUCCAGGUCAGGAUGGUGCUCCACAGUGGUCAGUCCCCAGCCCUGUGGGCCGCCACCUCCAUCACCCAGCCUUUUAUUACACACUCUGAGAGUGUCUCCAAUGCCUGUCUGACAAAGACAGUCCCAGCCCAUUUUCCUGUCUGGCUGGGUUGAGUGCAAGCAGGCUCUGAAUGCCUAGCAUUUUAGCUGCGUCACCUCCCAGCUCCUUAUUGCCCAAAUAGAGAGGGUGGCCCUGGCUCCCCUCAGAGCAACUCUGCAUUUAAUUUUGUAAUUUGGGAAGUGCCUGGUUUUGAAAAUCCGCUUUCUCUCACUUUUCCCCUCCUUCUUUGCCCCUGGCUGCUCUAGUGUUCUGUCUCCCAGUCACCUCGCUCUCCCAGCACCAGUGCCCUUCUCCUGCUCCCAGAUAUUCUUUCCUUUCCUCUCUCCUGUUUUCCUUCCUCUGCUAUCUCUCGCACCUCUCCCAGACUGUGUCAUCUGGUUCUCCUGCCUGGGUUCAAACUCUGCAUCCUUCUCUAACAACGUGACUACCUCAUGUCUGCUUCAAGGCCCCCAUGCCCUCCUGUAUCCACGGCCGCCGUGCACUCGCCUGCCAUCCUCCUGCCUCCUCUUCACUCAGUGCUUCUGCUUGCCCUGCCCCAGGCAGCCCGCCCACGCCCAGUGCAGGUGUGGAGAAGACCUUCUGGCUUCCCUGCAUCUUGCCUUUGGGAUUGGGAUCCAAGGGUUCUCCAUGGAUGGAUCCAAGUCAUACAGGGGAAUGUUUGAGACAGGGAAGGAGACUGUGAUCCAGAGGCUCAGAAUAAAAAGAUGCCCUCUCUUCUAUGCAGGGGGGCAAGUUUACUGGAUGGAGAUGAUUUGGGUCUUUCUUCCAGAGAAGGUAAAGGAAGAGAAGGGGAGUGAGAGUUCAGGGAGGCCCUUCCCACCCUGUGAGGCUUGACUUGAUCUGGGUUGGGGAUGACAGGAAUCUCACCCUCCGGGGUACUGGCAAGGAGGUCUUUGCACAGGAAAAGGGGUAGCUCAUUUCAGUUUGUUUUUUCUUUAAAUUGAAUCCUCAAGUCAUUUUCUGUUCACCUGCCGCACAGGGACAAGCUUGACUUCUAUUUUCUGUGUAGUGAAAACAAUGUCAUUUAUUUGGUUUUUCACCUCAGCCCUCUCAUAGGAGCGUAGAAUGUUAGGGUCUUUACUCCCUAAUGAUGUCUGAUUGGCACAUGAAGAGUUAACUCUGGCUUCUGGGCCAAAUUCGAAAUAACCAGUCCAUUUUUCCUUUUUUUUUUUUUUUUUUUUAAUGGUGAAAUGUCUCUCAGCACAGUUGCGGCUUCCUCAAACCCUGAAAGCAUCUGUGUUUAUUAUACUCGGGUGUCACUCACUGUUGAUGUCUGCACCUACGUUUCCACCUCCUCCCCCUCCUUCAGCCAGCCUAUGAUAACACUAAAGAUUAUUAAUGUUGGUUUUGUAUCUCGUUAAAGACAGAAUUGUCACUUGUACUAUUUCUGCAGCAUUCAGCGCUGCUGUGGCUAACACCACUGUGUAUGUUUCAUCAUUGCUCUGAAGGUCAAAAGCCUCAUUUUAUUUUGCUGGUUUGAUUUUUUUUUUUUUUUAAAGAAGAAAAAAAAACUGCCCUGAAUUAAAUGGCUGUUUUAACAGUAGGCUCUUAGCAUUAUACCACAUAGUCAUUUUUCAUGUUCUUGUUUAACAGGCACUGAGGUUCUGGUUUAAAUUAAAUAGCUGCAAAUGAGACAAUUUAUAACCCAUUAGGUUGGGUGGAAAAUUGUUUCUCAAAAGCAAAUAAGUAAUAAAUCUGGUAUCUGCCUAUAACUCACAGUUGAUAAGAAAGUGGCCAUUUCUCACUAGCAUUAUAUAUGAUUUGAGCUCUGGGUAAUUUGGAAGUGUUAGGUUUGUGUCUUUGUAGCAGUAUUUUUAUUAGAAAAGAAUCUAUUGGCCUUUUAUAGGGUAUUAAUCCCUUUGUCACCUACCAUUGAUGCCUUAAGUUUUUUGAGUCUCAAUUAAAAAUCUUCCUUUUCUUGAUGCAUGACAAGUGUAAUCAGUACUUGCUCAUUUGUCUGUAUUUAGUUUAUGCUGUACUAUUUAAUUAUCCUCCCAGCGUUUUUUUUUUCUCCUUACAAAUAUGAUAUUCUUUAGUGUUAAGCUAAGGCAUUGAUUCAUGUAUCUGUCCUGAUAAUGAAUUAAUAAACUAUUUUCCAG